RNAcentral lists this ribosomal RNA (253 nucleotides) under uncultured bacterium. RNAcentral's name for it is "partial 16S ribosomal RNA". It matches the Rfam family "Bacterial small subunit ribosomal RNA", at positions 524 to 776 of the family's 1533-position model. The record is from RNAcentral.
UACAGAGGUCUCAAGCGUUGUUCGGAUUCAUUGGGCGUAAAGGGUGCGUAGGUGGCGCGGUAAGUCGGAUGUGAAAUCUCGGAGCUUAACUCCGAAACUGCAUUCGAUACUGCCGUGCUUGAGGACUGGAGAGGAGACUGGAAUUUACGGUGUAGCGGUGAAAUGCGUAGAUAUCGUAAGGAAGACCAGUGGCGAAGGCGGGUCUCUGGACAGUUCCUGACGCUGAGGCACGAAGGCCAGGGGAGCAAACGGG